CUACUUAGUAGAGAUUUGUUGG
RNAcentral lists this microRNA (22 nucleotides) under Glycine max (soybean). Its description in RNAcentral is "gma-miR4366". Lineage: Eukaryota; Viridiplantae; Streptophyta; Magnoliopsida; Fabales; Fabaceae. The record is from miRBase by way of RNAcentral.